GCUCCUGGGCCAGAGGGCCCCCACCUGCCCUCUCUGUGUGCUGGGGGGAGGGAUGGGUGCUCUCCCACCACCUGCUGGGCCAUCUUGGGGGGUCCCAGGCUAUGGGAUGGAGCACAGGGCGCUAGACCCCUGUGGCCCUGGGUGAGCCCCCAGUCUGAGAUCACAAUGGAGUGGUCUGGGCUGGAGAGAGGGAGCCCGGAAGAGGCCCAAGCAUGCCUGGUGGUCUGCGAGGGUGUCCAGGAGGAGGAUAUAAUUGCAUCCUGGAUUUUUUCUGGUGGGCCCUAAGUCCCAUGACAGCGUCCUUGUAAGAGACAGAAGAGGAGAAGACACAGAGGGAGGCCAUGUGAGGAUGGAGGAAGAAUGAGAGGGACACGACCACAAGCUAAGGAUCUGGGGGCCCCAGGAGCUGGGAGAGGCAGGAAAGGUCCCCCUGAGCCUUCAGAGGAGCCUGGCUCUGCCGACACCUUGAUUUCGGACCUCUGGCCUCCAGAACUGCGAUUGAAUAAAUGUCUGUUGUUUUAAGUC
Long non-coding RNA from Gorilla gorilla gorilla (western lowland gorilla), 525 nucleotides. RefSeq lists it as uncharacterized. The record is from RefSeq and is a predicted model, not a curated record. Lineage: Eukaryota; Metazoa; Chordata; Mammalia; Primates; Hominidae. The transcript is spliced from 2 exons.